UUUAAAAUUUGUGCACGUUUAAUAAGCUUAUGCAUAAUAUGGAUUAAACUCGUGCUGGCUGGUAAAUAGCUCGAAAUUAUAUCAAGAAGCUUGCUAUUGUUCCGCAAGUGUAAAAUUUGUGUUCUUAACUGCGCCUAGGUGAAUAUAUUUGAGAAAGACUUUCUUUAGCUUAAUCAGGAUGUUAAAAUUAAAGUUUCCGGCUUUAGGCAACCGGAAGACACUUCGAUUGUUGGAAUUGAUGCAAGUACUCGUAGCGAGUUGGGUUUCAUGCAUAGAGUAUAAGCAUAUAUUCACCACGAAACAUUUAUUUCCAAAUCAGAUUGUUAAAGUUGGCAUGUUGGUUUUUCAAUUCAAAGCAAAAUUUCUCCACACUCGGAACUCUCUGCUUUGUUUCUCGUCAUGUGUUUUCUAAUAUGCGUUGAUUUUAGGAAGCUUCAAAACUUUUCUGCCAUACCCUAUUCCGAAAUGAGAAUCUUUGUAACACCCAGA
Bactrocera oleae (olive fruit fly) is the source of this 489-nucleotide non-coding RNA. The record is from RefSeq and is a predicted model, not a curated record. NCBI's taxonomy places the organism in Eukaryota, Metazoa, Arthropoda, Insecta, Diptera, Tephritidae.